This is a long non-coding RNA of Brassica oleracea var. oleracea, 824 nucleotides long. RefSeq lists it as uncharacterized. The transcript has 4 exons. The record is from RefSeq and is a predicted model, not a curated record. NCBI's taxonomy places the organism in Eukaryota, Viridiplantae, Streptophyta, Magnoliopsida, Brassicales, Brassicaceae.
GCUGGUUAUGAACGAGCCUCGAACGACGGCGUACAGACUGGUGAUGAUAACGACGCACGCCUCCAUCCUCUUUCACUGAGUUUGCGACCAUCAACUCAGAUCUCGCCGGUGACGUCCCCGCCGCCGCUUCGUCUAGCAGUGGCACCACCAUCAGCUGCUGCUCUCUCUACCACCGUCUGAACCUCCAGAGCCCCCAAUCCCUCCAGACCCACCAAUCGGAACCAUAGGAGAUAUUGAGGAAGUUCUCGGAGAAGAACACUCGGCGCUCAGGGACUUACUUAUGCGUUGACAAAGGAGUUACUUAUGUUGUCAUUAAGAAAUGGAAGUGGAUGAUAUAACUAUGCACACAUGCUACGAAGGUGGACUUGAGACAAGUAGGUUUCUGAGAAGCAGAGUUGGAAAUGGUUGUGGACUGGUAAUUGGUCCACACAAUAACAAGAAGAAAGAAGGAUCCAGAAUUCAUCAAAAACAUCUCUUGUUUGUUUUUAAGUUUUGUAUGACACAGAAUUCUCCGAGAACAGCUUGCUAGUUGCUAAGUCUUCCGGCAAUGAUCAUGUGGCGGCUUCAACUACGGAUAAAGCUGUAGCUAAACUGCCAAAUGCACCAGUUUUCUCAUGUUAAGUCCGGUUUAGAUAAAAGUAUGGUGCUUUGAUUGUUACGACAGCAGAGAGGGAGCUUGGAACCAUGAGCUUGAUUCAUUGACACAGGUUGAUCUCAACAACUUCGAAGUUUCUUUGCUUUCAUUUUAGUGGUUUGCCUUUUCCUUAUGUGAGAAAGUGGGGUUAUGGUUAUUGUGGGAACCGAAAUUCACACCGUCGAGUUUU